CUUAAGUGGGGAAUAACGCAUCGAAAGGUGUGCUAAUACCGCAUGAUCUCUGAGGAGAGAAGCAGGGGAUCGCAAGACCUUGCGCUUUUGGAGCGGCCGAUGUCUGAUUAGCUUGUUGGUGAGGUAAAAGCUUACCAAGGCUUCGAUCAGUAGCUGGUCUGAGGGGACGACCAGCCACACUGGGACUGAGACACGGCCCAGACUCCUACGGGAGGCAGCAGUGGGGAAUUUUGGACAAUGGGGGCAACCCUGAUCCAGCCAUGCCGCGUGAGUGAAGAAGGCCUUCGGGUUGUAAAGCUCUUUCAGCCGGAACGAAACGGUUACGGUUAAUACCCGUGACUACUGACGGUACCGGAAGAAGAAGCACCGGCUAACUACGUGCCAGCAGCCGCGGUAAUACGUAGGGUGCGAGCGUUAAUCGGAAUUACUGGGCGUAAAGCGUGCGCAGGCGGUUUUGUAAGUCAGAUGUGAAAUCCCCGGGCUUAACCUGGGAACUGCGUUUGAAACUACAAGGCUAG
Molecule: ribosomal RNA, 518 nt
Filed under: uncultured bacterium
Lineage: Bacteria
Description: bacterial SSU rRNA
Rfam family: Bacterial small subunit ribosomal RNA
Source: RNAcentral